GAGCUCGUUUUGGCAGCACAUAUACUAAAAUCAGAAUGAUACAGAGAAGAUUAGCAUGGCUCCUCUGCGAGAAUGACACACAAAUUCAUGAAGUGUUCCACAUUUUU
Molecule: small nuclear RNA, 107 nt
Filed under: Moschus moschiferus (Siberian musk deer)
Lineage: Eukaryota; Metazoa; Chordata; Mammalia; Artiodactyla; Moschidae
Source: RNAcentral